UCUACGGGCGGCAGCAGUGAGGAAUAUUGGUCAAUGGGCGCAAGCCUGAACCAGCCAAGUCGCGUGAGGGAUGACGGUCCUAUGGAUUGUAAACCGCUUUUGUCGGGGAGCAAGGCCCGCCACGUGUGGCGGGAAGGAGAGUACCCGAAAAAAAAGCAUCGGCUAAUUCCGUGCCAGCAGACGCGGUAAGACGGAGGGUGCGAACGUUAUCAGGAUGUAUUGGGUUUAAAGGGUGCGUAGGCGGAAGGUUAAGUGAGCGGUCAAAUGUCGGUGCUCACCAGCGGCUUGCCGUGGAAACUGGUCUUCUUGAGUGAGCGAGAAGUAUGCGGAAUGCGUGGUGUAGCGGUGAAAUGCAUAGAUAUCACGCAGAACGCAGAUUGCGAAGGCAGCAUACCGGCGCUCAACUGACGCUGAGGCACGAAAGCGUGGGGAUCGAACAGGAUUAGAUACCCGGGUAGUC
This 460-nucleotide ribosomal RNA is filed under the name uncultured bacterium. Its description in RNAcentral is "partial 16S ribosomal RNA". It matches the Rfam family "Bacterial small subunit ribosomal RNA", at positions 338 to 795 of the family's 1533-position model. The record is from RNAcentral.